This 351-nucleotide transfer-messenger RNA is filed under the name Peptostreptococcaceae. RNAcentral's name for it is "Clostridium_Y paradoxum Standard tmRNA". It matches the Rfam family "transfer-messenger RNA". From Rfam's summary of the family: Bacterial tmRNA, also known as 10Sa RNA or SsrA, is named for its dual tRNA and mRNA-like properties. Lineage: Bacteria; Bacillati; Bacillota; Clostridia; Peptostreptococcales. The record is from RNAcentral. RNAcentral also lists the same sequence under 1 other name.
GGGGGCGUAAAGGUUUCGACGGGGGUUUGGAACCUGAAGUAGCGAGCCGUGUUUCUCUGGUCCACGUAAAAAACUGGGGAUUAAAUAUAAACGCAAACGAUAAUUACGCUUUAGCAGCUUAAUAACAGCUGCUCGUCCUACCUAGCUGCCCACAAGCUAGACUAGGGCGUCGACUCGGUGGGGAACUAUCUUUAGGGAGUCUCGACUAAAGAUGGACUAAUUGAGACUGGCCGAUCUUAAAGCCUUCUAUUGGGCGUUAUGUGAGGCGAGAUUCUAAAACAAUAGAUACGCUCGUAGAAGCUUCAGGGAAAGAACUUUCGGACAGGGGUUCGACUCCCCUCGCCUCCACCA